GCAUUUUCAAAAAGCGGAGGAAAAGAAACCAACAGGGAUUGCCCUAGUAACGGCGAGUGAAGCGGCAACAGCUCAAAUUUGAAAUCUGGCUUCGGCCCGAGUUGUAAUUUGCAGAGGAUGCUUCUGGCGCGGUGCCUUCCGAGUUCCCUGGAACGGGACGCCACAGAGGGUGAGAGCCCCGUAUGGUCGGAUACCAAGCCAGUGUGAAGCUCCUUCGACGAGUCGAGUAGUUUGGGAAUGCUGCUCAAAGCGGGAGGUAUACGUCUUCUAAAGCUAAAUACCGGCCAGAGACCGAUAGCGCACAAGUAGAGUGAUCGAAAGAUGAAAAGCACCUUGAAAAGGGGGUUAAACAGUACGUGAAAUUGUUGAAAGGGAAGCGCCUGUGACCAGACUUGCGCCGGGCGGAUCAACCAGCGUUCUCGCUGGUGCACUCCGCCCGGCUCAGGCCAGCAUCGGUUCUGGCAGGGGGAUAAAGGCGGCGGGAACGUGGCUCCUCCGGGAGUGUUAUAGCCCGCCGUGCAAUGCCCCUGCCGGGACCGAGGUUCGCGCAUCUGCAAGGAUGCUGGCGUAAUGGUCACCAGCGACCCGUCUUGAACCACGGACCCAA
RNAcentral lists this ribosomal RNA (607 nucleotides) under Pleurostoma hongkongense. Its description in RNAcentral is "partial large subunit ribosomal RNA". It matches the Rfam family "Eukaryotic large subunit ribosomal RNA", at positions 38 to 670 of the family's 3401-position model. Lineage: Eukaryota; Fungi; Ascomycota; Sordariomycetes; Calosphaeriales; Pleurostomataceae. The record is from RNAcentral.